This 253-nucleotide ribosomal RNA is filed under the name uncultured bacterium. RNAcentral's name for it is "partial 16S ribosomal RNA". It matches the Rfam family "Bacterial small subunit ribosomal RNA", at positions 524 to 776 of the family's 1533-position model. The record is from RNAcentral.
UACGAAGGGGGCUAGCGUUGCUCGGAAUUACUGGGCGUAAAGGGCGCGUAGGCGGACAGUUUAGUCAGAGGUGAAAGCCCAGGGCUCAACCUUGGAAUUGCCUUUGAUACUGUCUGUCUUGAGUACGGGAGAGGUGUGUGGAACUCCGAGUGUAGAGGUGAAAUUCGUAGAUAUUCGGAAGAACACCAGUGGCGAAGGCGACACACUGGCCCGUUACUGACGCUGAGGCGCGAAAGCGUGGGGAGCAAACAGG